GUUGUGGCUCAGUGGUAGAGUGCUCACCUAGCAUGUUGAGGACCUGGGUUCAAUCCUCAGCAUAACA
RNAcentral lists this transfer RNA (67 nucleotides) under Marmota monax (woodchuck). RNAcentral describes it as "tRNA.Ala". Lineage: Eukaryota; Metazoa; Chordata; Mammalia; Rodentia; Sciuridae. The record is from RNAcentral.